AACAAAUUAACAAACAAAUAAAAUCAAAGUCAAAAAUUAUACAUAUUAAAUAAUAUAUACAAAAUUUAAAAUUAUAAAAAAAUAUAUUUAAAAAAUUUAACAAACAAAUAAUAAAUAAAACAAAACAUACCAAAACAAAAUAUAUAGAAUAUUAAAAAAAAUUAAUUUAACAUAAUAAUAUAAGAAAAAAAAAACAAAAAUAUACCUCACUGUCAGUUCAAAACGAACCACAACUCACUGUACCAGUUAACACCUGUCGCAUUUCAAACUGUGGCUGCCUUAGCCGCAUCUCCAACUGCGGCUAUCCUUAACCGCAUGCCCAAGUGCGGUUAUGCACGGCUGCACCUCCAACGGCGGCAACCCUUAACCGCAUCCCCAAGUGCGGUUAUGCACAGCCGCACCUCCCAGGUGCGACGCCCCUCAAUCGCACCACUCAGGUGCGACACUUCUCGACCGCGCCUCCAAAUGCGGUUCUACGCGAGCACCUCCCUCUGAACCCAGCCCAGAUCAAAUACCCAACUCCAACUCUAACCCAAACUCAAUCCUAGCAACGAAUUCAUGGUUCCUCUCACACAACAUAUAAACAUAUAAACAACAUAUAAACGUAUAAACAAUAGAUCUACCAAACAAAUAGGCUAAUGUAGUUAAAGGAUAAACAAUGCAACUAACCUGGACGCCUUGCUAGAAGAAGGGUUGGAUCUCACCACCACAGCAACACUAAACAACCACC
RNAcentral lists this long non-coding RNA (730 nucleotides) under Vigna radiata. RNAcentral's name for it is "long non-coding RNA (VRAD_LNC007907)". Lineage: Eukaryota; Viridiplantae; Streptophyta; Magnoliopsida; Fabales; Fabaceae. The record is from RNAcentral.